AUGGCCUCACCGUGCAGGGAGCAGAGGCGUGAGAGGCUCGGGCGGGUAAAGGGCCAAAGCAAGGCGGAGGAGACAGCGAGAGAGCUGCCUCAUUCAAGCAUCUGGUUUGAAGACAUUUGCAUGAGGGGAAAUUUUCAAGUUGUAUUCAUGCCUAAAUCACCGUGUGUCACCAAGGACUACGACGCAGCGCUGAUGCACGCAGCUCUUGCUGAUGUCAUGAGCCUGUCUGGAGCGGCAUUGAGUGGAAACGCCCGGCGUCCACACGGAGCAAGAGCUACAGCCGCCACAGUGACUAUGCCACGGCCGAGACCAUGUGUCCCGGGAGUCUCGAGGGAGAGCUUCCACUCGCGAGCUCAGAAGUUUCUCGGAAGAGGUGGCCUCGGAGAGAGGUUUGGAAGAAACGGAAGAGCAUCCCCUCUCGGCCCAGGAGGAGGAAGGCCCUCCAGGCAGAGGACUGGCCGGAGUGGAGCGGCAGGCGGAGGCUCGGGUGAGCGGGGAGAAGGUGGGAAGGAGCCUGCCUAGGACGGGGCAGGUGGGGCUUGAAGAUGAGGAGGGUAGGGAGCAGGAGGAUGGCCAGUGGUUGUCGUGGCAACGAGGCAAAAGGAAGUUGGAUUAAAACCCUAAACCAGGCAGUUGGACUGAGGAGGAGAGAAGACAGGUUUCUCUUCUUUCUUUCUUUCUUUUUUUUUUUUUGGUCUUUUUGAGACAGGGUCUUGCUAUGCAGUUCAGGCUGGCCUUGAGCUCACUUUGUAGCCCAGGCUGACCUCGAACUCUCAACAAUCCUCCUGCCUCAGCCUCCCGAGUGCUGGGAUUACAGGUGUGCACCACCACGCCUGGUUUACACCACCACGCCCGGCUAAGAGGACAGGUUUGAGAGUGGUUUGGCAGCGAGGACAGGAGGGCUUGGUGACAGACUGUUCGUGACAGAGACAGGAGGAACUAACAGAAGUCCCAGAGCAGCGGCCGGAGCUCCGGGAUCUUCGAUGAAAUCCUCCGAACUACUAUUCACCGUGCGAUUCAUGGUGCGCUGCGGGAAGCGCUUUGGCCUCCACGAAGGGGAUCCCUGGGCCAGAGCUCAGCGCCCCGGCCCUCCUGCCCAUUCUGUGCUUCUCAAGAAGCUGGGAGAUCCGGCUCCAGGCAAAAAAAAAAAAAAAUACACAUGUAACCAAAACAGUCCUAGGGUCCUGAGGACAGAAAUCUGAAAGCCAGAAGAUACAAUGAAACACACUUGGAAUGCAGGCUGGAGCCGCUGUCUGGGCCGCAGCGUCUUCGCCUGGCUUUCGCUAGGCAGAGAGGUGGGCUUUCCGGGAAGCAAAGCUGAGGCUCACUCACAGAGAAACCCCGGCUUGAAAGCGUGGGUGUGUAUCACCAAACUUAGGUCCUGGCCUCUUAGUGGACACAAAUAGUGAAGGAAGUACUGUUAUUAUAAAUACAUACUACCCUCCCGGGUUAGGAGGUGUUUGAGGUGUAAAAAGUUUUUGUGAAUAACUUUGGGUUUUCCUACUGCUUUUGCUUUUUUUUUAUUUUGAGACAGGGUCUUGCCAUUAGUUCAGGCUGGCCUUGAAUUUUCAGCAGUCCUGCCUCAGCCUCAUCAGUGCUAGGAUUACAUGUGUGCACCUGGAAAGUUCCGGUGAUGGGCCGGGACCUGUACUUCGAGAAACACUGAUUUGAUUGGAAAGGGAAUUAGAAAAAAAGAGAAGGUAGCACUUAGAGAGCACGAAGGUAGAAGCCAGGCGUGGUGGUGCACACCCAUCAUCCCAGCACGGGGGAGGCUGAGACCAGAGGCUCCCAGUGAGUUGGAGGCCAGCCUGCUCUGCACAAUGAGUUCAAGGCCAGCCUGAACUACAUAAUGAGACUCUGUCUGCAGAAACAGCAAAAGAAAACAACAGCAAAAGGCAAAGUUCAGUAGUAAAAGAGGGUCUAUGUCCACCCCCACCACCACCAAAAAGAAAACCUGACCUGCAUGGCUGGUCCUUUAGGAAGCUGUACACAGCGGGAAACCCGGUGGCUGGUGAGCCCUUUUGAUUCUAUCGGAUGACUCUGAGGCUGUCCUCUUCCAGUGACCCCAUAAUUACGUGUACAUUAGCCCCAAGGACGGAAAGUAAUUUUCUCCAGCUUACCUUUUCCAGCAUUUCCAGAUUUUAUGCUUGAACCUGAAUGAAGCCAAACUAUGAAUCAUUUCAUUGGCAUAUACCAGACUAAUAUGUUGAGCUCCAGAACUAAAUCAAAUCUCAAGUAUCUUUCUCCUGAAGUAUGAACCAAACAAAAGAGAUCUGUUUGUCUCUUGAAUAAAAAAUAGUGAACAGUUCAAGUUAGAAAGAAAACUUCUGGGGGGCUGGGAAUUUUGCUCAGCGGCAAAGCGCCUGCCUGGUAAGCACAAGGUCAUGAGUUCGAUUCCUGGUACCGGAAGAAAAACAAACAAACAAAAAGAAAGAAAACUUCUGGUUUCCAAGCCAGGCGUGGUGGCACAUGCCUGUAAUCCCAGCACUCAGGAAGCUGAGGCAAGAGGAUCCCUGUGAGUUCAAGGCCUGCCUGAACCGCAUAAUGAGGCCCUGUCUCAAAAACAGCAAAACAAAACAAAACAAAACAAAAAGCCAGGGAAGCAAAAGGAGAGGGAGAAGUAGCCUCGCGCUGCCCCUGCCCCUGACCGUGGGCGAGGAGGCCCUGGUGUGGCCGGGUCGCAGAAAGGAUGUGCAGCGCGCGGCCUCCUGGCAGAGAAGGGUGGCGCCAGGCAAAGGGAGGCGACCAGCUGCCGCUUUCCUAACGGAGCGGCAGGCGCCCUGUGCCGCCGGGGUGAGGGCAGGCGGCACAGUCUGCCCACAGCUCCUGGGGCGCGGAAAGCGGCGUGCCCUCCCCGCGGGCUGUGUUCCUCUCCCUGACCAACCGUGCAGCACAGACGAGGGGCCACAGCGCAAGGCUUGCGGGGCCCACACCCCAGCCCAGGUCUGUGUUGUAUUUCAUAAAAUUCUAAAAAUCUAGGAGCGGAAGUCACACAAGCAUGCAUCAGGCUCGGCGCACGUUCUUCAUCUUUCCUUUCUGGACCUCACAAAGAAAUCUGCGGCCACACCGGUAACUUCCUGAGCACGUCUGGAAAUACGGUGGGGGGCUGUGCCCGCAGAGCGGUUCCCCGAGCCGGCAGCCCGUCUGAAUGUGGUGGUGGCGACAGCCGCGGCAGCGGCGUUGAGAGUCCUGGAGGACCGCCUGCUCCCGGAGUGCUGGGCUGUUCUCAGUCAGGCAGUCGCUAAUCCAUAGCACCUGCUUUUAAUUUCCUCUUUUUGUGGCCUUUUUGGGGGCAGUGCUGCAGGUUGAAUCCAGGAUUUCAAGAAUACCAAGUGAGGGCUCUAACGCUGAUUUUUUUUUUAAUUUGGUACCGGGACCUAAACUCAGGACCUUACACUUGCCAGGAAGGUGCUGUGCCACUGAGCUAUAGCCCCGGCCCUUUAUUUUCUAGUUUAGAAAUAAUUCACUAGGAUUGGCCCUUGUCUGACUGUCUCAUGUUUUAUAAAAUCAUUUAAAAUGUGACGUAUACAUUAUCUCCCAACAAACUCCUGGAUAACAAUCUUUUUCCCUACAAUUGUUGGCGAAUUUAUUUGUCUCAUUAUACAGCCAUGAUAUAAAAUUAGCCUUCAGGCCAGAGGCACCACCUGGCUAUGCACUCAGAAUUUGGUUACAUGGAAUAAAAC
Molecule: long non-coding RNA, 3683 nt
Organism: Chinchilla lanigera (long-tailed chinchilla)
Lineage: Eukaryota; Metazoa; Chordata; Mammalia; Rodentia; Chinchillidae
Source: Ensembl